UUACUAGUUAGUUUAGUUAUGUAAUAGUUUAUAAUUAAGUUAAUUAUUUUAUUUUGUGGACAUAAUGAAACUCAAAUUAAUUUGUAUCUAUUCGGUUGCAUUUGAAUUAUUUGGGAUACCGUUAAAUUACAAUUCUACCAAAAUUUAAUUAAUUUACUUCAAACCUAAACUUUUAAAGAUCAUUUUUGGGUCCUUUUUUACGAUUUACAGCGGCCCAUUCACCCAGUCUUUUAGCAUUAUAAUCCCAACCUACUCUUAACACCCAAAUACUCGGUCCAAUACUGUACAUCCAACAAUUCUAGCAACAAAGCGUGCAACAAUGCCAAUAACCGAUCCCCUGCGUCUUCCUUUUCUUCUCCAGCAGUCCAGCAAUGCAAAAUAACACACAAAUCAAAGCCUAGAAAUGCUGCAAACCAGCGAUUCAAAGCCGCCUAGACCCGAGUCCAGCAAAUUCGGCAGGGUCUUUCUUCCUUUUCGUCUUGUGCGAAAUCAUUUUGACAAUUACUUAGGUGUCAAAAUCUAGUGCUUCCUUGCUCUCCAAAUUGAACGGCUCCCCUCAAAGUUCUGUUGAGAGUUGGUACUAUGGAAAACUUUCAACCUUAUCUCAUCUCUUAUGAGCGUUUGAAUUUCAAAUUUUGGAAUUCACCCUAAAAGAAUCUACCCGAUUUCCCCCUCUUUCCAUCCCAUAAAUCCCCCUAUUUAAACUCCCUCUUAUCUUUGUUUAUGGUUGGAGAUAUCUGUUUAUGGGUUGGGAAAGUAUAUAUAUAGGAAAAAGGUUAGUGGGAGCUUUGAAGGAAAACAGGAAAUAAAGUCUAGAAGAGUAUAGAGGCAAUAUUUACAUACCCAACAAGACAUACAAAAUAGAUUAGAAAACUACAUAUACUUAGAGUCUAGCUUUUGGCUUUCUUCUUGUUCAUUGUAUACGAGAGUCUUCCGAAGUCUGACUUUUGGUGUGAAAGCUCGUCUCCUUCAGAUCGUUUCGUCCCAAUUGCUUCCAUAAGAAGAUCGUUUCGUCCCAAUUGCUUCCAUAAGAAGGUAAUGUUUUCUCCUUUACAAUAUUCUCGUUAUCUUUUCCCUUACAAUAUGAUGUUAAUAACUGUGUAUUGUUGUUCUAAGUUUCUUGGUGCCUUGAUGCUAUUUCUAUCUUUAAAUUGUCUCUAUGUUUAUUCUUAGUGCUAAUUUAAAUUUUUAUCGAUUUGUAUUCAUUGUUGUCGUCUUUCUUCUUUUCUGUCCGAGCAAUACUUUGUUCCUUCUUGUAUGCUUGCUUAAAUGUUGUUGAUUUCACUUGCCGCUAUCUAUAUGUUGUGCUGUCUUCAAGCCUUCUUUUGCUACAAGUUGACACUGUACUCGAAAUAGUAAAGAGGCUUAGGUGUUAGUUGUUCUUGUUAUGGUUGUGUGGAUGUGAUUUCUUUGUCCUAAUUUUGAUAGCCUGGUUCACCUGUUCUUAUUUUUUCUCUCUUUUUGUCCUACUUUUCUCAUGUGAUUUUGAUAAUCUCUAUUCUCUACCUUAAGGUUAUGUUAACUCUAGCAUCAAUGUUUAAAUCGUUCUUUUUUCUAAAAAUUCAUAUGUAGAGUUGGUUUAAACUCGGAGCUUACCAUUAGUAUCCCGUGUAUUUUAACGGGAAUUUAUCUUGAUAUGGUAUCAUGUUUGAUGCCCUUUUUAUCCUAAAAUACUAUUCGCAAAAUAGUAAUAAUGUCUUGAUUCACUUGUUGUACAUGAUGGUAUGAGUCAUGGAUCCCUUUUGAAAUAGUAUGAAGAAUUAUCUAAGUAAAACAUUAAUUGAUAUAAGUUGCUUAUGUGUGAUUAUUUUUUUUAUGAUAAUUAGCUAGUCUUGGGGUCAAUGCCACUUGAAUUUGUAAUGGUUAUCUUGUUUCCUAUGUCAUGUUUAUCUAGUAAGGAAUGAAUUUGAGUGUCUUCAUAUGCAUAGUAAUUUCAACCACAUUGUUUUCUUCUUCAUUUUAGAUAUCUUAUUAAUAUGGGUUUAGUCCUUAACUUUUGCCAUGACUAAGUUAAAUUGUUGACCCUCUUGAAAACAUUAGUUGUUAAAUGUUUGCCAAAGUUACUGUUGGGAUUGGUAGAAAUGUGAGAUUAAUUCAUAUAAUAUUUACAUGCAUUAAUUAUUUUAAUUAUGUAGCUGUGUUUUAAAAUGAGGUCAACUUUCAUCGAGAGAAUUUUUGCGUUAUGCUUAUAUGUUUCUUAGUUUUUUAUGUUGUAUAUGUAUCCGUUUUGAGUCAAACUGGGACUUAAAUCUCCUUUUCCUUCAAUUUUGAGAGAGUAGUAAAGGCUCAAAUCCACCUUUUUCGAGUAUACAUUAAUUAUACGCAAUAAAGUGAAGGAUAUCAGAGAGUUGAAGAAAUUGGACCAAAACGCCUACUUCUUUAUUUUCAAGUUGUAUGCCUAAGCCUACUCGCUUAUUAUUACCUUGUUAGAAUUUAGGAAAGGUGCAAGAUGGGCCUAAGGCACAAAGAAAUGAAUUUCAAAUUUAGUCUAGGACAGGUACAAAAAGGGGGAGGAGGCAAGAAUUUGGCCGAAGGCCCAAAACGAAUUCAGGCCCGAGUAUUGGUCAAGGGUGACAUAAAACUAGAUUUGGGCACAAAAUUCUCUCUCUUUAUUUUAUAUGUUUUGUAUUUGCGUAAAAUUAUCUAUUUUCUAGUCAAUUUUAAAGUUUUGCUAAUUUGAUCUUCCAAACUAUAACCUUUUGAGAUUUUCUUAAAGAGUAAUUGCAUAGGUCCUUAUAUUUCUACUUACACUACUUUGAAAAAAAUUUCUUUAAAUAAUUCCUUAUACUAUCUCCAUUUCCUCUUAAAAGUAAUAUUUGAUCUUAAGUUGAUAUAUUUUCUCAACUUAAUUAAGCAUGCAUAUCUUUUAAAAUAUUAGUCAAAUAUUUUAAUUGUCGGAUAACGGCUUGUUAGUGGGCAUUUCGGGUGCUUUCAAAUCCUUUCCAAAAUGCUUAUAUGAAUCCCAAACCCCUUUAAGUAUUUUUCAUUAGAUUUACUGUUUUAAUCUUUGAAAGAUAGUUUUAUUAAUUUUACUUCAAAAAUUAAGUGACUACUCUAAAACUAGUCUAAAUACUAAAUUUUUAUAUAAAAUAAAAUGACGACUCUACUGGGAUUUGACAUAUUCUAUCAAAAGGAACUUAUUUUUGUUUUUUUACUUAAAAGGAAGAUUAUGCGGAUUCACGGUCAUUCGUUAACCAAAUUGUUCUCAGGGCACCCUGACGAAAGUAGUUGGCUAUUUGAUAGUCAUUGGUUGUUAAAUGUUCCAGCCCAAGUAGUAAGAUUGGGUCACCUAUCCAUAAUAAAAAUGCCCACUCUUAGUCAAACUAGGGUAAAGCAAAGCCAAAUCCCCAAAAUUUAGCGCAUUUACCUAGGAUGACCUAACACCCAAGGUGUGUUGGACCCAUUAGAAAGACCAUCAUGAGUCCAAAUAGCUCACGACUUGAGCGGACGUUCAUACUUGUGUGUUAAAUUUUAAGGAUGUAUACGUCAUUGUCCCAUGGAGUUGUGAGUAGAUUUUCAUAGCUUAUUAUAGUAAAAAUAAAGAUUUACAAAGCUAAAGGCCUCGUCUCUCGGAGAUGUCAAUAAAUCAAAAUCAAAAGAAAUUCCAUGGAUGCAUAGCUGAUGAUAGUACCCCUGCGUGAGAUUUAAUUUUUCUAUCCCUUUUUCCCUAUUAUGUAUGCCCAUUUAGUUUAUUCGCAAAACAUGUAUAAUUUUGGGUUUUGAGACAAUGAAAUGUUUCAAAUAAUGUACUACAUCCUUUAAAUCGCUAGACCCAUUCUUGGCACAAAAGAGACACAAAUCUGUUUAUAUCGCGUAAUAGUUGUUUAUGUGUUCUAACUGUUUUUGUUAAUAUUUUUGUUUAAUUGGAGAUAUUCUAUUCCACUCUUCUUCAAAUUGUUUUUAGAACGCUAAGCACAAAUAUCAAGUCACUUUCAAAAGUGCGUCCAACCACUUAUCGAGUCUUUAGUUUUCUGUCAAAAUUUGAACUUCAUUUUUUUCCAAUUAUUACUAUCAUUUUAGAAAAAAGAUUCAUCAUCUCGAAGUUAAAAAAAAUUCAAGUUGGUCGAACUAUGUAGGACCUAAAUUCUCCCUCAUAAGAUACUAGACAGUCUUUCAAGGCUCAAUUCCAAGUUUUGAGAAAUGCUAGCUCUGGUAAAGAAAUUAGAGUAACAUCAUAAUCGAAAAUCAAAAGUGCAAUAAUGAAAGAUACAAUCUAAUUUGUCUUGACUCAAGUCGACAUCUUUGAUUCACUAAUUUCAAAGUCAAGUAGACAAAUUCUUGUCUAUUUAGCCAUUUCUCUACAUCAGUGGCCAGUUUAUCUCCUAAUAAAGCAACUCUUAUCAUGUAUUAUUUAUCACAUUUAGACACUAACAUGUUUACCUUUUGAGUUAUUUUUCAUUUGUCAGGUAUUUAGAAUUGAUCUGUGUUGAUAACUUGACCGAACACCCUUGCUUUACAAUAUCCAAAGCUCCUAAAUAUUCCUUUCCUCACAUCCGUCUACUAAAAGGAAAAACAUCAAUGGGUGACAAAAAUGGCGAGGUUAGCUUGACCAAAGUUUCUAUAGUCCAGCCCUCCACCGCUGAAUAAAAUAAAUUGAUCCGACUAUUGAUGCAACAAAUUGCUGAGUUGACGGCUGAGGUCAAGAAAGAUCGUGAUAUUCCAAAUUUGGGUAUCAUUAUCGACAUUCUAAAUAAUGGAAGACCUCCAUUCUUCUCUAUUCCUCUAAAUUCAAGUACAAAAGAUUUCAUUAACCCACCCUCCAAUCCUAUUCAGAAUCCUUCCACCAUUGACUUAACUACCCCCAAGCCCCAACACGCCACCACCUUGUAUCAAACCGUCUCUUACUCAAAAUACCAACCUUCAAACCUUCCAUCUUCCUCAAAACCAAAAUACGAACAAGCUUAGUCCUUCCCCUAUUUUCAAAACCAAAAAUCCAACCAUAAAGUAUCUCCCGCAGAUAUACCAAGCUCCUCAAAACACCCAAAAUCCUUUCAUGACCCAUCAUUGCCUCAAAAGACUACUUUCCAAAUACCAUUUUCAAAUGAACUUUAUGUCAAUUCCUUUUUAGCUUUACCACUAGUAGGAACAUAAGAGAGAUUGGAGAUCUAAGAAAGAAGCAACCAAGUUGAAUAUGAAA
Molecule: long non-coding RNA, 5137 nt
Organism: Solanum lycopersicum (tomato)
Lineage: Eukaryota; Viridiplantae; Streptophyta; Magnoliopsida; Solanales; Solanaceae
Source: RefSeq, a predicted model, not a curated record